This 253-nucleotide ribosomal RNA is filed under the name uncultured bacterium. RNAcentral's name for it is "partial 16S ribosomal RNA". It matches the Rfam family "Bacterial small subunit ribosomal RNA", at positions 524 to 776 of the family's 1533-position model. The record is from RNAcentral.
UACGUAGGGUGCGAGCGUUGUCCGGAAUUAUUGGGCGUAAAGCGCGUGUAGGCGGCUCGGUAAGUCUGCUGUGAAAGUCCAGGGCUCAACCCUGGGAUGCCGGUGGAUACUGUCGAGCUCGAGUCCGGAAGAGGCGAGUGGAAUUCCUGGUGUAGCGGUGGAAUGCGCAGAUAUCAGGAGGAACACCUAUAGCGAAGGCAGCUCGCUGGGACGACACUGACGCUGAGACGCGAAAGCGUGGGGAGCGAACAGG